Bactrocera oleae (olive fruit fly) is the source of this 1255-nucleotide non-coding RNA. The record is from RefSeq and is a predicted model, not a curated record. NCBI's taxonomy places the organism in Eukaryota, Metazoa, Arthropoda, Insecta, Diptera, Tephritidae.
AAUUUAAUGUCUCUGACGCAUUUAUUAAUUGGUUUAUCGCACUUUUAGUAGUUUUUAACAAAACCGUUAUAUAGAGAGUAGGCGGAGUUAUCAUCCGAUUUUAUCCAUUUUCACACUGUCGAAGGAAGUUACGAAAAUAUUCUGUGCAAAUUCGGGUUACAUAGCUUAAAUGGUUUAGAAGAAAUAUACAUUUAACUUAUUAGAAGGCGGGGCGACGCUCACUAUUGAAAAAAUGUUCGACCAUAGAUGCCCCUCCCCAAUAUAAUCUUUUGUUCCAAAUUACCUUAAUUUAGUGCUUAGUUAUUGCGUUUUAUAAAUUUUCGAUCAAUGGCGUUUUAUGGGCGUGACAGUUUUCCGAUUACGUCUAUUAAACUUCUUAUGGUAGAUCAGCAGAAUGAGCGCAACAUUCUAAAGGAGCAUAGAGAUAAAAUAUCCAAAAUGAUAAAAAAAGACCGCGUAGAAAUAAUGGAUAUGUUCAACUCAAUGGUGGCAACAAUGCAACACCAGGCACCAUCAUCUUCGAAUGAUAUAUACUUAUGUAUAUAUACGUACCAUCUAUAGCACCAAUAAUAUUAAAUAAUCAAAUUUCCCAGUGGCUAGUUAAGUUACGCCUACCCCUCCAUGCACACCACUGAGCGCCAACAGACCAUAUCAACACAAUCCACAAAAAGACUUCACCCACUAACACACACAAACAUACAACACCCCUUUUUCUUUUGGACAUCCAACCGACCACAACGUUCGUCAUAGUAUCACCGAGUAGUGAACAAAAUGAAUAAAUCUUUUUUUAAUUUUAAAAUCGUUUUUCUUUCCAAAAGUUAAAUACCGCGUCAAUUACCCGAUGAAAAUAUUCGUAUACGGUGCUUUUAUGAACCCCAAAAACAUCUCCUACUACUCGGUACUCAGGACAAGCAUCUAAUUUAUAAACACACUUAUGUAUAUUGCCACUUGUUUCGCAAACGGAAGAGGUGGUAUUGGUAAUGAAUCCAACUUGGUGCAAAGCGUCUGCAACGCAGUAGCAUUCAUACGAAAAUGUUCAUAAAAAAUUUCCUUAUUCUGUGGUUUUUGUAAGUUCCACCAGUGGUUUUGAUCCCGUGACCGCUUCAUAAAUCGUGUUGGUACAGAAAAUUGCGUUAACAAAAUAUUUUUUUUAUUUUUUUUAUUUUAUUAAAGGAAAUACAAUUAUAAAUAAUUAUACUACCUAUAAAAUAUAACAGCACUAGCGACAAGGCCUUCAGCUGUGGGCUUAAUUUUA